Molecule: long non-coding RNA, 3522 nt
Filed under: Sus scrofa (pig)
Lineage: Eukaryota; Metazoa; Chordata; Mammalia; Artiodactyla; Suidae
Description: lncRNA (ENSSSCG00035021479.1)
Source: RNAcentral
UUCUCUAGACUUAAUUAAGUGUAAUUUCUAUGACUCCUGCAGUUAUAAUGUACUAAUAGCAGUCUGAGGAUCUUAAAAGUCAAAAGUCCUAACAGGCACCAAGUAGCUAGGUUAGGUGAUUAAAAUCAGAUUUAAGGGCAAAGUAGCAUUGGGAGCUCUGGCCAUCUGGAGAACAGGUGCUCCCUUAGAAGGAGAAAAUGCUACUCAGCUUCCAGCUAGUCACAUAGGCGUAUAGGCAGUAUUGCCUUAUCUGAUAUUUUAGGAAGCCAAGAUGCUUAAUUCUUCUAUUGACUUUGUAAACAACUCUUCUAGACAAAGAAAGUGUAUCAGUGGGCGAGAUCCACUGGAUGGGCCACUGAUUUGCCCCUCAAAUAGUAUAUUGUUUGAAUAACAACACUAAAAGUUCCAAAGGAUCAAAAAGGAAUAAAUUGUAUUCUUCGUAUUGUUCUAAGUUAGAAAACUGCUCAUAUGUUGUAGAACAUUCUUUAAUAAUGGAUAUACAAACAGAUUAACCAGAAUAUUACAUUUCUAAAAUAUUCACGUUAAUGAUUAUCUAGGUCAGUAAAUAGAGAGACAGGUGUUAGAAGCAAACUUUAGCUUUGCCUCAUUUUUCUCAGAUAACAAGCAAAAUAAUAGGAUGUUAUAUGGAAUUGUUGUAUAUAAUACCAUAAAGUUCUUAACAGAUACAAAAGGACGUCUGUAAUGGAUUUUAAGUGUCUAAGAGUGGGGUUACAUUAUAGAAAUGCUAAAUAAAUAUAAAUAAAUGGCAUUGCCCAUGUGAAAAACUAUGUUUUCUAUAUUUUAUAAUAUGACUACCGAGAUCAAGGGGAAAUUAAAUUAAGCUUUACUAGGAUUUCUAGAAAAUAGAAAACAGUUAACUUGAUUCUAAAAAUGGUUUUAAUAAAAGCUACUCUUUAAAAUGCAAAAUUAAGUAAUUAUUUUUAAUUGGUUUAGGAUUCGUAUGAUUUUAUAUAGUGAAUUAGGUUGAAUUUGAUACUUUUAGCUAGUAGUUUUGGAAUUUUGGAGAUACCAUUUAAUUUUCUGUGAAAGAGAGUGAUUUCAGUUUUAUUUUGACUCUGAUCAAAUGUGUGUCUCAAACAAAUGUGUUUGGCAUAUUAUAAUUAUAAAAUAGUAAUCAUUAUUAUUUUUAAUGAUAGAUAAGAUCUCAUAAAAAAAAACCCUUCCUUUUUCUGUUGGUCUAACAACUAUAAAUGGGAGUCAUAAUAUACUCCUCAUAUUUAUUUUUUAAAUGAUAAAGACCUUUUCUUACACUGUAAUAAAUUUUAUUAUAAAGCACUGCAUGAAUUUGGAGUAAUUCAAUAAUUGUAAGUAACAGCAAUAACUAUACUUUGUCACAGCUUUGCCACCUUUUUUUUUUUUGAUCUAGUCAUUCAAAUUUAUUUGUUCAAGUUUGUCAGCUUUAUCCAAAAUUGAUCACACUCUACGUGUUAAUAUUUAAAUUAUAUAAGUGAUAUAUAUAUGAGCAUGAUGGUAUGUAUAUUGGCAUAUUUUCUAUACUUUGCAGAUAUAAUCCAAUGCAUUCAAACAGGCUUGCAGUUUUAGAGUAAUGGAACUUUAAAUUUUUGUAGGAAUACGUGUUUUUGAAAGAAAAUUUUAUCUUUGAGAAUUUCUAAAGAAUGUAAUUAUGAGAAAAAUAAUCUUUACAUUUUCUAUUGAUUGGCUAUGUGGAGUAGUCUUCUGCUUUAACCAACAAAAACCAAAUAUAUUUAGAUAACUAUUUGGGAAAUUUUGUCUUCUCUUCUGAGAUAUCUACAUGGCCUUAUCAAAUUUCUGGCUUCCCUCAGGCUUCCCAAUAUCUACAUACAAUUAAAUAUCUAAAUGUAUUAUUUAAGGAAAUUCUUAAGUUAUUGAGUUGUUUUAUUGGGACAUUUAUAUUAUGAUUACAGAGAUUAUUUAGAAUCAUGUCAAGGGCACAGUAGGAAUGCAUAUCAGUUCUAGACAGACUAUCCUAUGAAUUUCCUUUGGCAUUGGCUAUUGAAGAAAAUUAGUAGAAGAAAUAAAUAAUGAGAAGCAAGUAAAAAAUACUUCCAGUGACUAAGAAAGUUAUCUCAGUGAUAGAAGAGGUUUUUUUUUUUAAACUCUAUUUUACCUGUUUAUUAUAAUAGAUAAGAAAUUUUAAAAUUUUAGAAUUUGUUAUGCAGCAUGAAAGAUACUUAUUACUAUAAAUAAAGAACUCUAUAAAGAAGACAUUAUGAGAAUUUCAUAGGAAAACAUUUGGAAUGAUUCACUUUAUUUCCAGUUGGUAAAAAUGUCCCUGUCUUCCCUUAUUCAGUAGAGUAAGAUUGUCUAAAUUUUUAAAGAUUAUUUUCAAAUUAAAACUAUGUUACUCAUUUUUGCUUACAUCUAAAUUUGAUUUUUCAGUGUUCUCUCUGAAACACAAUAUACAAUACAAAUAAAGCAUAUCUGUUCUGGCAGUUAGCUUCUAUUUGAUUGGUGUCUGAAUCAAGUGUUCCCACGUUGAAGUUGAAUACGGGCAGUUUAGCCCUUCUUGUCUGUCAUAUUGCUGCAGUCUUGCUCGAAAGAAAACCCAUGGUGACUGAUAAAUUAGUGUCCUAGAGCCCGCAAAAAUGGCACACUCUUAUCUGUUGCUUGAACAACAAAAGCAAAUACAUGUAUGGACAGAUAUUUUGAUUGAGAUUAACAUUCUGUCAUGUUUAAUUAAAGUUAUUUCAGAAUUCUGUUUUUACUUAAACAUAGUAAAGCUCUUGUAUUUUUAAACAAAUUUAAAGCAUAUUGUGAUAAGUAGUUAAUGUCCAGUAAUUUUUCUGGCACAUGUCUACAUGUUGUAGUAGAAACUGCAUUCAAUUGGGCAGAUUCUGGCUAUUAGUCUCUAUGAGACCUGGGCAAAGUAUUUUCAUUUCUCAGUUUUUUCACUUAAGUUGAGAGGAAGCCAGAUGAUCUUCAAGUGUCUUUUACCUAUUCAACUAGAUUUGUCAUCUUAAUUUUAGCUUUUAAGUAAUAUUUAGGGUGAACAUUUAAAAAUGUAAUCUAAACCCUAAAGAAUAUAAGCUGUAUCAUAAUUUACAGUUUGAACAAUGAAUGCUUAAUGUUUUUUGCUUUUACCCAAUGAUAAAGCAUAUUUAUAUUAUUAUUUCAAUGAGCCAUUUAAUUCGUCUAGUUUAAUUAUUGCUAAUUUCUUGAAAAAGUAUCUGGUAACUUUUUCAUUUGUGUUUUCUUUCUCCAUUGGAUAAUUUCGAGAUGUGUUUCUUGGCUAUGAUCUCUGAGAGUGAAGACAAUGUAUUAGUCAUUUCUGUGUCCAUCCCCCAAAAUAGUAAUUCAUUCUCACUGAGAAUUGUGUAUUGCCUGAGGUUAAAUAAAUAACUCAUUAACUUAAAAAGUUAAAGGUCAUUCUUACUCAGUCUUUCUGUUUAUUUUGUAACACAGACUGUACAAUCAAAUUAAGCAAUGAUUUUUAUUUAAAACUUUAAAAACAAGUUUUCUAGGGAAAAUAUUGGGGUAUUAGUCUUACAGUAGGCAGCAACAGUAUUAUAAAACUAAAAU